This 373-nucleotide ribosomal RNA is filed under the name uncultured Glomeromycotina. RNAcentral describes it as "eukaryotic LSU rRNA". Lineage: Eukaryota; Fungi; Glomeromycota. The record is from RNAcentral.
UUGAAAGGGAAACGAUUGAAGUCAGUCGUACCUGCGGGUAAUCAGCCUUUUGGGCAUGAUUCUGUGGAGCGUGAGGAGUUAAACGCCUUCAUGCCUGCAUAUUCGUGUACUUUGGGUGUACUUGCCUGUGUGGUUAGUUAACAUCAAUUUUGGUUAUCAUAAAAUGGCUGGAGGAAUGUAGCUUCGAUUUCGAUUGAAGUGUUAUAGCCUUCGGCAGAUGUGAUGAUCGGGAUUGAGGAUUGCAACGGAUACCCUUCGGGGCUACCUGUCUGGUCUCUGAUCGUUGCUCUGGUGCCGAAAGCGUACUUACGGUUAUCAAAGUCGAUGGUCAAUAGGUUAGAACGGGUUAAAUUCGUUAAGGAUGUUGACGUAG